GGACGUGCUGAACCUGUUCCGAGCACGUCCUUUCCUCGCCACUUAGCCACUGAGCAGCCACGCUGUGAGGUGAAGCGUUGCUAGGUUGGGAUGGAAGAGGUGACCCUGGUCCUGAGAGAGCAGGUCCGGGUGGAGUGGCUACCGCCAGCCCUGAGAGGGUCCUGUACCAGUGCUGCCGGGGCCACACCGGAGUAACUAGGAGGACCCUGGCUUUGUCUGUCUUUAUUUUCUCCAGGGUCCUACUGAUCAGAGGGAAUGGGGGAAUGGUGUAGAAGAGCUGGCCAGACCACGACAGGGGAAAGGCAUCGGAGAUAGCGCCCUUCCCUACCCCCCCGGGAGCAGAACAGGGGGCAUUGUCGGUUCUGCCGGGUUGCAAAUAGGUCUACCUGGGGAGUACCCCACCUUUGGAAGAGCUGGCCCAGGGCAGUACAUGUGGACAGCAGGCGUGCCACAUGAUCCCUCACCUGCAACUGGGAGGUGCCUUUGACUAGCCAGUCAUCCAGAUAUGGGAAUAUUUGGACCCCCUGGCGUCUGAGCAAACAGAGCCUUCCCGUUGAAAGGGAGAUCCUGCACUGACAGCUGCGCCUUGCUGGAGAGCCCAGAGAGCAGAAGCCAUGACGACUGUCUCAUGGACACUACUGUGGCCAUGGACCAUUCAGCCAUGUCUGCUGCAUCCAAAGCGGCCUACAGGGAUGCCCUUGCGGCCGCCAUUCCUUCCUCCACGAGCAUCUCAAACUCUUUCUUACUGCGCUCCUGGAGGGAGUCCUCAAACUUGGGGAGGGAUUCCCAGAGGUUAAACUCGGAGUGACCCAGGAGAGCCUGAUGGUUUGCUACUAGUA
Long non-coding RNA from Caretta caretta (loggerhead turtle), 839 nucleotides. RefSeq lists it as uncharacterized. Lineage: Eukaryota; Metazoa; Chordata; Testudines; Cheloniidae. The record is from RefSeq and is a predicted model, not a curated record.